ACAGUGCUUCCAAGGCCACCUUGCUCAGCUCCCACUUUUGUUUACCUCACAGACCUCUGAUUGCCCCAGGGACAGCCAGUCAUUUGUCAUUUUCAGCCACCUCACAGAGGCACUGGGCUCUUAGCUAUGCCCCCUCCCUUCCACCCCACACUCUCCUGUCCUGCCUGGCUCCUUUUACUCAUCACCCAACCUGAGGCUCCACCAGUGGACCCUCACUCCUGAGCACCCGAGGGAAAUGCAGAUUUACCUGUAGGAGUUCUGAAGCAAGGGAAAGCAAGCUGGAGUGGGAACCCCAUACUUGGGCCCAGUAACAAAGAGAAAUUGAUUUCGACUUACCUGAGCUACUGGAUCCAAGCUCCUUUAGGUCGCUGCUGAGAUGUAAGGAAAUCAUGCUGCCACGUCCUGUUGCUCUAGACCAAGACAGCUCCAGCCAUCAUGCCUUCCCAUCAGUGAACCAUGAGCCAAGUAAAAUUUCCCUCCUUUAA
Molecule: non-coding RNA, 485 nt
Organism: Rattus norvegicus (Norway rat)
Lineage: Eukaryota; Metazoa; Chordata; Mammalia; Rodentia; Muridae
Source: RefSeq, a predicted model, not a curated record